UCCGACCUCAGAUCAGACGAGAGUACCCGCUGAAUUAAGCAUAUCACUAAGCGAGA
Molecule: ribosomal RNA, 56 nt
Filed under: Perna viridis (Asian green mussel)
Lineage: Eukaryota; Metazoa; Mollusca; Bivalvia; Mytilida; Mytilidae
Description: partial 28S ribosomal RNA
Source: RNAcentral